GUUGGUGAACCAGCGGAGGGAUCAUUACCGAGUUUUCAACUCCCAAACCCUAUGUGAACUUACCACACCGUUGCUUCGGCGCGCGCUCGUCGCCGCCGAGGACGUUAAACUCUGUCUUGUAUAAGCAUCUCUGAGUGGCCGAAAGGCAAAAAACAAAUGAAUCAAAACUUUCAACAACGGAUCUCUUGGUUCUGGCAUCGAUGAAGAACGCAGCAUUGACUGACUCGGGCAUAAGUCAUCUCGUAUGCCG
Molecule: unclassified non-coding RNA, 250 nt
Filed under: plant metagenome
Description: partial contains small subunit ribosomal RNA, internal transcribed spacer 1, and 5.8S ribosomal RNA
Source: RNAcentral